RNAcentral lists this long non-coding RNA (2337 nucleotides) under Olea europaea subsp. europaea. The record is from RNAcentral. Lineage: Eukaryota; Viridiplantae; Streptophyta; Magnoliopsida; Lamiales; Oleaceae.
AUUCUUUUCAAUCAACAUCGGAGGUUGGGUUUGUGAAGUUGUGAUUCAUUGAUUUUUUUUUUUGGGGGUUUCUUGUAUAUGUUGACAAUGGAGAUGCCUGGUUCGGGUUGUUUUUUGUUUUUCUUUAUUGUGGGAUUUGAAUUUUUCUGAUUAGGGUUUGAGAAUGGUUCCUGAAAAUGAAAAGAACGAGUUCCUAUCAGACUCUCCAACUUCUGUGCUUGAAGAUGGGUAUAACUCUUUUUUUAACAACUUUUAACAUUUCUUUUCUAUUGACCUUUUGCUUUUGGGAUUUAUUAGGUUAAUGUUUUUCUGGAAGAGUGUAGGUUCGCAUAGGUGUUAUUGUUAAGCAGAAGAAGAUAGAACAUUGUGUUCUUCUCUGAUUAAAGUAAACAAAACUUUUUGUUAUUAGCUUUGAAAGUAAAAAAGAAAACAAAAAAGAAAGAAUUUUCUUUGUGUGUUUGUCUCCGUGUGUGCAUAUUUUCUAUUUUCUUUUAGUUCCGUGUUGGUUUAUUGUAAAAGACUAUAAAAGAAAGGCACAAAAUACGAUGCACUUUCGAGAGAUUCCAAGUCUGAGUGCACAAGCGGUUACAGUUUAGAGCCUUAUUUUCAAUGAACUUAUUACAAGAUGUUCGCCCUUCUGUUUGACUUGAGUUACAUUUUUCUCGGUCCAAUAAACUUGAAUGUUUUUACUUCUGUUGCUUGAAGAUCCGACCUUGUAUUAUAAAUGCUGUUUUGUAUUUUCAAAUGAAGUUACACCAAGGAAUGCAAUGUGCUAUUAUCAAUUUAUUAUACUAGCUUGGAAGUUUUGGUGAAAAACAUGUACCAUCAACCAUGUAUCAUUAACUGAUGCCAUCUUGUUGGCUUUUGUUUGUGCUAAAGCAGCUAGUUGUUUUUAUGAGUUUCAUGUAAAUUUGGAGUUUGAGUUGAAGGGAUUCUUUGUGUAUUACGAUUACUCAAUAUUUCACAAAUUUUACUGAAUGCUUUUCUCUUUUUUGUGAUUUUUGUAUUGGGAAUUUGCAAAGAAUGGAUCCAUCUGAAGUAGGAGUAUCAGCUGGUUCUCCAAAGCUUCUGCAGGCUGAUCAUAAUUGAACAGGGAAUACUUAUCUUCAUUCUUGCUUAAUAGAGGUAUGGCAAAAUGCUCAUUUCCAUAAUAAUUAUAACGUGUUUUGCUUUUUUCUGCAAAUUAUAUAUAUUAGAUUAGUAAAAAAGGUAAACAUUCUUUUCAUUCGAAUUACGUUGCUUAACUCUAUGGUUUUUUCUUGUAUUAUUAAGUGAAUUCUAGCACGUUAAUUGCAAUUAAAGUAGUCUAAAUCGUCCCCUAAAUUUACGUUCUUUAGUGAUGUAAAAUAGUAGUGUAAUUGCCUUUUUGUACACCCUUUCGCGUACCUAGAAAUGAUUUCACGAAAUGGAUAAAUUCUCUUUUACCUCAAUAGAAAAGAGAACAUGGUUUGAAUUUCUUGUAGGUGCCACCAAAGUUAAGAUGUCUUAUGUUUAUUUUUUUUAACCUAUACGACUUUUAAUGUUCGCGUUUUCUUCUGUCCCCUGAUCGUGAAUAUGUUGAAUAAAUCCUCAACAAUAGACUCCAAUGUUAUGUUUGGCAAGAUGAAAUUGAGAGUAUUGGGAAGUAUUAAUUAAUAAAGAUGAAAAUGAAGUUAAUUUCUUGUUUAUUGCUUACCAUAUCUUACGCCAAGAGUCCAUGAACUUUGGGAUUUUUUUUCUUCCGUUAGCUUUGAAUAUUUGUAAUAGUAUACACUUAUCAGCUUCUGAGCUUGAUGUGCUACACAAGGGAUAUUGUUGAUCAAAUUGUAGACUAAUGCAGGAUGAUUAGACGAAAUAUCAUGGCUGCAGACCGUGUAGGCACAUAGUUGGAGCGAUGAAUCGUCUUAACGAUGCAUGUAAUGGCCUUACAACAUCUAAAGAACUAUUCAAAGUAUUAAGUCGUAUUUGUCACCUUCAAGAGCAACAUUCUACAAGAUUAUCACUUGAAUAUUGCAAGUUUUCGAGAUGCCAGCAACAUUUCAAAAGCUUUCAGUUAAAAGCUUUUUUCUUGAGACGCCAUAGGGGAAAAAAAAAUCAUAAAUCUAAUUAUUUUGAAGAAUCUGCUGAAGAUGUGCCUGUAUUUCAAGAGUUUGCAUAUCAGUGCUUGGCCCAUGUGUUUCCAAUUUACUUUUGAGAUGUUAGAUAUCUCUUGUUAUUGAUACAUGGAUCUUUACUCUCGAAUAUUAGGUUAAACAGAAAGUUAGGAUCCUUUGUACAAUUAUACAUGUAUCUGCAGUAGUGAAGCGAUGCCUUCCUAUAGAUUCUCGGAACAUUGAAUUUACACAUUCUCAUGAAGGU